This 492-nucleotide ribosomal RNA is filed under the name uncultured bacterium. RNAcentral's name for it is "partial 16S ribosomal RNA". It matches the Rfam family "Bacterial small subunit ribosomal RNA", at positions 29 to 507 of the family's 1533-position model. The record is from RNAcentral.
AGUGAACGCUGGCGGUAGGCCUAACACAUGCAAGUCGAACGGCAGCACAGUAAGAGCUUGCUCUUACGGGUGGCGAGUGGCGGACGGGUGAGGAAUACAUCGGAAUCUACUUUUUCGUGGGGGAUAACGUAGGGAAACUUACGCUAAUACCGCAUACGACCUACGGGUGAAAGCAGGGGAUCUUCGGACCUUGCGCGAUUGAAUGAGCCGAUGUCGGAUUAGCUAGUUGGCGGGGUAAAGGCCCACCAAGGCGACGAUCCGUAGCUGGUCUGAGAGGAUGAUCAGCCACACUGGAACUGAGACACGGUCCAGGCUACUACGGGAGGCAGCAGUGGGGAAUAUUGGACAAUGGGCGCGAGCCUGAUCCAGCCAUACCGCGUGGGUGAAGAAGGCCUUCGGGUUGUAAAGACCUUUUGUUGGGAAAGAAAAGCAGCAGGUUAAUACCCCGCUGUUCUGACGGUACCCAAAGAAUAAGCACCGGCUAACUUCGUG